GGAUACAAAAGAAACACACUCUUUGAACGUUAUAAUAGAAGUAAGUAUUCUUUUAUUUGUGACCUUUUGUCACCUUCAACUUCUUAACAAUUUUAUAACACAUAUACAAGCAAUUCAACUACAUAAAAUAUUCAACGAAAGACGACAUCGGGUAGCGUUCUGAGCUAGUCUUGGCGGCAGCAUCCAACAUUCUCCCCCCCCAGUGCACAGCGUAAACGAACACAGCUUCUAUCAUUUAAUGUACAUGAAAGUAAUACAAAAUAUUAUUAAUACAAAUUUUAAAUGAUUUAAAUAGUUGUAGUGAUUAUGUUUGAUGACAUGGGAUAUAGGCCCAGGUUGUGGUUUAUGAUUAUUCUAUUACAUUUCGAUACUCGAAAUAUAUUUGUCAUCUCGUAUUAAUAAUUAUAUGUCACUUAUUUUUAUUUGUUGUGUUGAUCUUGUAUUGUUUUUCUCCGCGGUAAAUUUUAAAUAUUUGUUUUAACUGUGUUUCGUAUUAAUUUUUAAUUAUUUAUAAAACUAAAACCAACUAUAUUUAUUUUAAAGAAUGACUUGACCUUGACUUUGGUGGCUUAGAAGCUGAAGCUUGCCGACAGCUAUGGCUGUGAAUUAUUUUGGCCAAUUUAUGUUAUAUAUAUAUGUUAAAUAUUUUCGUUUGAAAUUUUAAAGGUCCGUUAUUGGUUUCGGUGUUUUUUUUGUAGUUUAUUUUUUUUUUUGAUUUAAUUUAUAAUUUUAUUGAAUGAUAAUUAAUUAAUUAAUGUGUGUAGUUUAAUUUAUUGAUACGGGUGUUAUAAAUAUUGUAUUUAGUUAAAUCUGAAUGUAUGGGAGGUAGUAGUUUAAGUUUUAUAAUAUUGUGUGUGUUCUUAUUAUGUUAAUAUGUUUUGUUAUUGUGAUUUCAGGUGAGAUGCGAUGGGUGAGUUGGUAAAAUAUUUGUGUUAUAUAUUUUAAUAAUCAUUUGGUUUUUCCUUCAGGUUUUGUGUACAGGUUUGGAGUGCUGGACUUUUACCAGUAUAAACACUAUUGGACAACUCCUGAUUUGAUCUGGUAUGUUUCCCUUUUAUAAUUUUAUUUAUAUAUUUGAUUUUAAUUUCAAUUUUAUUGAUUUUAAAUUUUGUAUAUUUUAUUGGUUUGAAUGUGAUGAAUGUUUUAUUUGAGCGUGUGUGAGUUCUUUUAAUUUAUUGAAAUUAUUUUAUUUAAAAUUAUUAAUUUUACAAUUUUA
Eupeodes corollae is the source of this 1216-nucleotide long non-coding RNA. RefSeq lists it as uncharacterized. The record is from RefSeq and is a predicted model, not a curated record. The transcript has 3 exons. NCBI's taxonomy places the organism in Eukaryota, Metazoa, Arthropoda, Insecta, Diptera, Syrphidae.